UACGGGGGGGGCAAGCGUUGUUCGGAAUUACUGGGCGUAAAGGGCUCGUAGGUGGCCAACUAAGUCGGACGUGAAAUCCCUCGGCUUAACCGGGGAACUGCGUCCGAUACUGGUUGGCUUGAGUUUGGGAGAGGGAUGCGGAAUUCCAGGUGUAGCGGUGAAAUGCGUAGAUAUCUGGAGGAACACCGGUGGCGAAGGCGGGUCUCUGGGCAGUAACUGACGCUGAGGAGCGAAAGCGUGGGGAGCGAACAGG
This 253-nucleotide ribosomal RNA is filed under the name uncultured bacterium. RNAcentral's name for it is "partial 16S ribosomal RNA". It matches the Rfam family "Bacterial small subunit ribosomal RNA", at positions 524 to 776 of the family's 1533-position model. The record is from RNAcentral.